GAUGAACGCUGGCGGCGUGCCUAAUACAUGCAAGUCGAGCGAACGGACGAGAAGCUUGCUUCUCUGAUGUUAGCGGCGGACGGGUGAGUAACACGUGGAUAACCUACCUAUAAGACUGGGAUAACUUCGGGAAACCGGAGCUAAUACCGGAUGAUAUUUUGAACCGCAUGGUUCAAAAGUGAAAGACGGUCUUGCUGUCACUUAUAGAUGGAUCCGCGCUGCAUUAGCUAGUUGGUAAGGUAACGGCUUACCAAGGCAAUGAUGCAUAGCCGACCUGGGAGGGUGAUCGGCCACACUGGAACUGAGACACGGUCCAGACUCCUACGGGAGGCAGCAGUAGGGAAUCUUCCGCAAUGGGCGAAAGCCUGACGGAGCAACGCCGCGUGAGUGAUGAAGGUCUUCGGAUCGUAAAACUCUGUUAUUAGGGAAGAACAUAUGUGUAAGUAACUGUGCACAUCUUGACGGUACCUAAUCAGAAAGCCACGGCUAACUACGUG
This 497-nucleotide ribosomal RNA is filed under the name uncultured bacterium. RNAcentral's name for it is "partial 16S ribosomal RNA". It matches the Rfam family "Bacterial small subunit ribosomal RNA", at positions 28 to 507 of the family's 1533-position model. The record is from RNAcentral.